UACGUAGGGACCAAGCGUUGUUCGGAUUUACUGGGCGUAAAGGGCGCGUAGGCGGCUCAUAGAGUCGGGCGUGAAAUUCCUGGGCUUAACCUGGGGGCUGCGUUCGAUACCUGUGGGCUAGAGUGAGGAAGAGGGUCGUGGAAUUCCCAGUGUAGAGGUGAAAUUCGUAGAUAUUGGGAAGAACACCAGUGGCGUAGGCGGCGACCUGGUCCUUUACUGACGCUGAGGCGCGAAAGCGUGGGGAGCAAACAGG
This 253-nucleotide ribosomal RNA is filed under the name uncultured bacterium. Its description in RNAcentral is "partial 16S ribosomal RNA". It matches the Rfam family "Bacterial small subunit ribosomal RNA", at positions 524 to 776 of the family's 1533-position model. The record is from RNAcentral.